This 77-nucleotide transfer RNA is filed under the name Helicobacter sp. 11S03491-1. RNAcentral's name for it is "tRNA-Met". It matches the Rfam family "tRNA". Rfam says of the family: Transfer RNA (tRNA) molecules are approximately 80 nucleotides in length. RNAcentral also lists the same sequence under 1 other name. The record is from RNAcentral. Lineage: Bacteria; Pseudomonadati; Campylobacterota; Epsilonproteobacteria; Campylobacterales; Helicobacteraceae.
GGACCCUUAGCUCAGCUGGUCAGAGCGCUCGGCUCAUAACCGAUCGGUCGCAGGUUCGAAUCCCGCAGGGUCCACCA